UCAACUGACGUCAUAGCGAUUGAUACGCGCCGGGGCAAUCGCAGCUGCAAAGAUCGGAACUGUCUACUUGAAGAGGUACCAACCGAAAGGGAAGGUGUUACCAUGCAGCGAACGACAGGUGUGAAAACCGCGGCGGUAAUUGUCGUUCUUGUUUACCAGAUGACCAGCAUCAAGAUUUCAUCCAGAUCCACAGGCUGUUUUGCCUUUAUGGAGGCAUGCAUAUCAGAGUCGGCUUUCUGUGAGAAAUCCUCUCUCAGAAACAUAUGUCAUCCUAAAGAUGGAAGUUGCCAAAUAAAAGUCUCAAAGGUCUGUAACAUGACCAUCCACUCCAUUCUUGACCAAUAUCCUACAGUGAGAGGGUGUCUGUGUGCAUGGGAGGAGCCCUGUACCUCUCUGGAACUACUCACUUCACAAUGCCUCCCUGAGACAGAUGGUCAAGCCCUGAGCAGCUCUGUUAGCCCCCGCUGGAAUCCUAUGAAGGAACAACCAAUAACCACCAGAGAUAGCUGUCUCUCUGCUCUUCAUAGUUGCCAGAAGUCCCACCACUGUGCAUUAGUGUAUAAGAAGUUGAAGGACUCAUGCCAGAAAGGAAAAAAACAGUGCAACUCUCCAAGCUCUCAGCGCCACUGUCUGUCAUUGUGGAUGGAACUCCAGAGCACCUCUCUGUCUAAUUGUACAUGCGCCCUGAGCAGAAGAAAGUGCCAAGGGAUAUGGAGUGUCGUGAACAACAACUCCUGCAUUCAGAAUGCACUGGAGGCAUUGGCUUCAACGGGUCUACAUGAUUUAAAGGACAGGUCAAAUACAAGAAAGAAGUUAACUGGCUUGUCCACAUGAACAGGUGAUGAGAUAGAUUACUCCCUUGGUCUUGGAUGAGAUGAUACCCCUCACAGGGAUUUUUCAACCUGUAUGUGGGUGUCUGAAGAAGGAUGUUUUUAUAGUGCUAUUACACUGUGCGCAUGGAAUGGGUGUCAAGAGUAUCUGAGUGGGCUCAGGGGGUAUGUCAGAUCUCACCAAACUGUCUCCAAUAUUGCGACCACACUUAUAGACCACCAUUGGAGGUUCCUUGAAGAGUCCAUAUAGCACAACAGAAGAAGAGUUCAACUGUGGAUUGGAAAAGUAGCAGUCUGAAAGAAUACGUUCAUGACAUUGAUGGGUCCUGUUUGCAACAGAUGACAAUCUGCCUCCAUGAUGAUGUCUGCAACAGGCAGAUGGUUCCUCUUGUGCAGACGUGUUUGGCAAAGCAAUGCAACAGCACUCACUGUCGACAGGUCACUCAACAGCUCUACGCUGGUCUGCCAUACAACAUCGCAGAGAUGUUCGUCCUCUGUGAAUGUGACCCAGGCGAUCCGGACUGUCUGCAUAUGAAGGAGGGUCUGCACAGUGGCACAUGUGGAGAACAUUUGGAGGAGGCCAGGACCCAAAUCUGUCUCGAAAUCUUUGACAACUGCCUGGGGGAGGCGCUCUGCAGGAACCGUUUAGAAGCUCUCCUAUCAAACUGCUGGGACACUGAAGACACACCAUGCAGUGAUUUUGCUAUGGAUGAAUGCACUAGUCUUCUGGAUCCUGCUCUUAUCCUUGGAGGAGAUGCAAAGUGCAGAAUGGCUUUGAUUGCUACCAUGGGAACAACACUUCAGCAUCCCUGUACAUGUGGUGGACUUCACAGCAAAGACCUAUACAAGUGCAACAUGAUGCGUGAAGUACUUCACAACCGAACGCAUUUUAUGUCACCAGUGAAGAAAGAAAGUACUCCUUAUGUGCCACCUCCAAUGACUGAAUCAGAAUCAGGAUACGAAUGGUUGAGUGAUCAGCUGUUGAAUGUUUUUGCAUACAUACUGCUUGUUGCAGUAGUACUGUUGGGAGUCAUGAUUGUUCUUCACAUACGGAAGCACAAAGGGAACAAAAAGCCUCAAUUUCACCCUCCUGAUAAAAAUUGUGUUGUAAUUUUCUGACCUUGACACUCAAAUGCGUGUAUCUGUGUAUAUAUUAUCCAUAUGAUUAUGGUACAGUAAGCAAAGGUAUAUGUCUGAUAAUGCAGAACCUGCAUUUUCUGAUCUAAUUUAGAUUUAUUGGUAUCUAACAGCUUUUUGAAAAUACUAUUUGAUCAACAUUUCCUUAGCUACUUAUACUAAUAUGUCAAAACAUGACUCUGUUUUAAGAUAAUUUUGUGAAAUUAAACAAAUGUACGGCCAUAAGCAAUUUCUGCUAUCCUUGUUAGCUUGAGUGUCAGAACACAGUGGCGUGGUUUAUGUGAUAACUCCUGGAAAAAGCUGAUAGCGCUCUAGUAACUGGUACACAACACAGUCAGUAAGGGACAUUAUACAACUGGUUAUGUCAACAAGGCAAUGAUGGUCAAAUAUUGACUCAUCCCUUUUAAGUUAUUUUUUUUCUUGUCUCUAUUGUCACUCCAAUGCUGUAGAGCUGAUUCAGUCUUCUUAUAAGAAAAACAUAUCUAUAUAUAUUUCUACAGCCUUGUAACCAUCCUGUUUUUCCAAGGGAGCAAAGACAAGAUCUUUGUUGUAUGUUAACAUGUGCAAUGUAUUACCAGUAACCAACAUGAGUUAAUUAUAUUAGCAAUAUGCUAGCUGGCUAUACAGAACGUGUUAGAGAAUUGCAUAAUUAGGUUGAUAUAUGAUGGCUAACGUUGCUAUGUAGCAGAUGUUCAUGUUUAAGGUCACAUCUAUGACUUGUCUCAAGUCUGAUAAGAUGCAUUGCUUUGUCCCCCUUUUCAUGGAACCUCAACACCUUAAUCCAGAUGUCAACAAAAUUGAUGCUGUGUUUAUGCCAAUGGGAAUUUUGUAUUUUUUAACAUUCAGAAAAUAUAUUGGUAAUGUGUGUCAAAAAGAUUAUUGUGCGUUUAAUCCUGUGAUACUCUCCCAGUAAGAUAUUUAAAGGUUAACAACUGUUUGGAUUUAUCUCAAGUAAAAUAAUAAUUUAAGUAAUACAAUAUUGUCACAAGAUAAUAACAAAGCUAAGCCUUGAUGUUUGGGAAAGGUUGGGCUGUAGGGGCCAGUAGAUGAUUAGAUAAAUAUUAGAUAUGCAGGCAGCACUGUAGGCAAAUAUUGAAAGCUUAGAAUGUCAUGUGUAAUCUGAAACCUACAGUAAUCUAGCUCUUUAACUGUAAACAAUUUUGUUUAAUCAACCUUUAUUAUCUUUAUGUAGUAAACAUGUUGGAUUCACAGUGGUUUACCAGAACACUUCAGUUUUUGUCUGUUUAUAUUUCCUCCAAUCCAACUACAAUAUAAAAAGGGAUAAUAUUAUGUUAUCUUGGCUUUCUAACAAAUCAGACUUACUCAACCACCCUUCUUUAAGUAACUAUUUAUUUAAUGCAUAAUAUAAAUGUCGCUUCCUAUUGCAAGAUGAACCCAUAGAAUAACGUCACUACAUACAUUGAAUGUAUUUCUUAUUAUUAUGGAACUUUGUCACAUAAUACUUCACAUUGAACUGCAUUCAUUACUAUUGAAAUGCAAAUUAAUAAAAUAAUUUACUUGUGUAUAUUGUUUAAAAAGGAGUACAGUCUAGUGGAAGGGAGGUUAGAUACUUUAUUAUACAACAAAGUUCAUGAUAUUGUUCGGUGUUCUUAGAGAUGUAUGUUCAGAACGCCUACUUCAACUAAAAUAAACGGUUAAGAGGCUUCAGGUAAAAUACAUUUGGCCCCUUUGACUAUUGCACAUACUAUAGGUCAACAUAAAGCUGCCGCCUACUGUGCUUUUAACUCUACAGAAUAAAAUGAAUAGUCACAACCAUCUAUAUGGUUUCGAAUGGGGUCAUGCACUGGUGAGGAUGAAUUGUAUUACUAUUAUUUGUUUUACUCUGCAUCGUUGUGAAGGGCUCGCAAGCAAGCAUUUCACUGUAAAGUCUAUAUCGGUUGUAUUUGGCACCUGACAAAUAACAUUUGCUUUGAAGAGAGAAAAAACCAAUCAAUAUUUUACAUGUGGAGACAGACAGACUUCCAUGUUAAUAGAGCAAAGGACUUGAAAAUACAUUUUGAGGGAGAAAAAUACAUUUUGAGGGAGACAAUGAUCGAAUGGUUUAAAACCCAGCAGGACUCUCCUGCUGAGCUGGAAAUGAAUAGGAAGAGACCCCCACAGAAACACCAUGAAUAACUUUCACAACUUAGUGAGGAGUCAUCUCUAUCUUUCACCUCCUACCAGACAGACUAUACGUGAUAACUGGAAGAGGUUUUUUGGUUAAAAAAGUUCUGUUAUUUCUUGAAUUUAAGUAGCCUUGUCCAACAACGUUUUAAUAAAGUGCCUCUGCUAAAUGGC
Molecule: RNA transcript, 4265 nt
Organism: Oncorhynchus keta (chum salmon)
Lineage: Eukaryota; Metazoa; Chordata; Actinopteri; Salmoniformes; Salmonidae
Gene: gfral
Gene name: GDNF family receptor alpha like
Exons: 11
Source: RefSeq, a predicted model, not a curated record